Molecule: ribosomal RNA, 377 nt
Filed under: Fasciola hepatica (liver fluke)
Lineage: Eukaryota; Metazoa; Platyhelminthes; Trematoda; Plagiorchiida; Fasciolidae
Description: eukaryotic LSU rRNA
Source: RNAcentral
GGCUUGGGUUUUGCCAGCUGGCGUGAUCUCCUCUAUGAGUAAUCAUGUGAGGUGCCAGAUCUAUGGCGUUUCCCUAAUGUAUCCGGAUGCACCCUUGUCUUGGCAGAAAGCCGUGGUGAGGUGCAGUGGCGGAAUCGUGGUUUAAUAAUCGGGUUGGUACUCAGUUGUCAGUGUGUUUGGCGAUCCCCUAGUCGGCACACUUAUGAUUUCUGGGAUAAUUCCAUACCAGGCACGUUCCGUCACUGUCACUUUGUCAUUGGUUUGAUGCUGAACUUGGUCAUGUGUCUGAUGCUAUUUUCAUAUAGCGACGGUACCCUUCGUGGUCUGUCUUCCUGACCUCGGUUCAGACGUGAUUACCCGCUGAACUUAAGCAUAUC